Micropterus dolomieu (smallmouth bass) is the source of this 515-nucleotide long non-coding RNA. RefSeq lists it as uncharacterized. The transcript is spliced from 4 exons. NCBI's taxonomy places the organism in Eukaryota, Metazoa, Chordata, Actinopteri, Centrarchiformes, Centrarchidae. The record is from RefSeq and is a predicted model, not a curated record.
AGUUAAGACUUCACUUCCUCUUCAGUUGGAAGGCCACUUCAGGUUCUCAUGGUUCAGUUGUGUAUCUACCAUCACACAACACUAGGCUGUAACUUCAAAACCAAAUGAAAUCUAUCAACCGAACCGCUCAAGGAUGGAUCUAUACUGACUUCAAACUUGGAACCUACAGGCCAGCAGAGGUGUUUCCUGCCAGGCUGACAGAAGACAACAGAGGACUCCUCACUCCUCCUCAAGUACAGCUGGAGGCCAAUGUCCCCACUGUAAGCGCGACCUAAAGACUCCCGUCCAUCACAGUGCAAAGAUCCCCAACAGAUACUCAUCUUUACAGUACACCCAACAAUGGUGAGGAAGACAAGGAACAACACUGCUCUCAUAACGUCAAUGGAUUAUUGGACCAUGUUUGGAAGCUCUGAACAGCAGCUCUACAUUUGGUUUUGUUGAAACUGCAUCAGAGAGAUUAUUGUGGUUCUAUAAAUGAAUGGGAUAAAUAUGAUUAAAACAUGCCUUCUCUGAAA